This 484-nucleotide ribosomal RNA is filed under the name uncultured bacterium. RNAcentral's name for it is "partial 16S ribosomal RNA". It matches the Rfam family "Bacterial small subunit ribosomal RNA", at positions 30 to 507 of the family's 1533-position model. The record is from RNAcentral.
AUUGAACGCUGGCGGCAGGCCUAACACAUGCAAGUCGAGCGGAUGAAGGGAGCUUGCUCCUGGAUUCAGCGGCGGACGGGUGAGUAAUGCCUAGGAAUCUGCCUGGUAGUGGGGGAUAACGUCCGGAAACGGGUGCUAAUACCGCAUACGUCCUGAGGGGGAAAGUGGGGGAUCUUCGGACCUCACGCUAUCAGAUGAGCCUAGGUCGGAUUAGCUAGUUGGUGGGGUAAAGGCCUACCAAGGCGACGAUCCGUAACUGGUCUGAGAGGAUGAUCAGUCACACUGGAACUGAGACACGGUCCAGACUCCUACGGGAGGCAGCAGUGGGGAAUAUUGGACAAUGGGCGAAAGCCUGAUCCAGCCAUGCCGCGUGUGUGAAGAAGGUCUUCGGAUUGUAAAGCACUUUAAGUUGGGAGGAAGGGCAGUAAGUUAAUACCUUGCUGUUUUGACGUUACCAACAGAAUAAGCACCGGCUAACUUCGUG